UCGAACAACGAAAUUUAUUUCAGAAACAACAGACAAAACAACAAAAUUAUCAAAAAUGACAGACAAAAGCAAAGCACUGAACAUUAAACUAACAAUAAUGGCAGUAAUAAAAUGUUUCACGUUUAUCAGGAAUAGUAUUGUAAUCUAACAAACAAAUAAAUUCAUAACCGCUCUGAUGAGUGGCCACUGAUAAAUAUGGCACCACUAUGUACCAUAGAGGGCGUUUACCUGUUCAGAAGGACAUAACGAAAGGUCUACAAACCCCUGGGACAGCAGGGCUUGGGGUUCCGACCUUAAUCUGCAAACCGCAUGCUAAAUUCUAGAAGAGAAUUGCUGUUAGGCUUACCAUAGUUUGUACAUUGGUAAAUAAUAAGUUUCAAAAAUAUUAACAAAAAGGGCUGAAACAGGAUUUCUGAGAGUUCCACAUAAUGAAAUGCUGGACCUCCUGAAGUAUGCGCACCAAGAUAGCGCACAACCUGAACUCAGGUUGUGUACCAGGUUAGGGUUCAGGUUGUCCAACAUCUUGGUGCGCAUACUUCAGGAGUACCGAAAUGCUAAAUCAUUCACCAAGUAAACAGCAAAAGCAAGUUUUUAUGAAAUCAUACAAAAUUCAACAGAAAAAGACAUCGACCAUCAAAAAAUCACCCAUAAGAAUUCAAGAACGCAUAACUACUUUGAAAGUAUAAUUUUAAUAAGAUGUCAUACAUCUUUCUCAAAACAAAGCACUAGGAAAGCAGCCACCCUAAACAUCGAAAAGAUUUUUAAAAUAUGAACCCCCAUUUUAUAUAUCACAGCUUGAACGCUGUGAAAAAUGCCUCGGCUCCAGGGUUUGAAUUUGAUGUCUGCCUUGCGUUCUCAACAUAUAUGAGUAAUGCACUGAACUAAGGUUCCCACAUACACGAUAUGAUCAGUCGCACACAUUCAAAAUACAGAACAAAUAAUAGUAGCAAGAACAGCCAAGACUAAAUAAUUACAUUUUCAAAAUACAUUCUAAAAUAAUAUUUCUGAAUAUUGAAUGCAUUCCAAAUUUUGUCAAACACCACAUAGAAAGCAAAGUUUUGUCAAUGAGUAUGAAUUUGGAAAUGCAGGAAAGUUGCAGUUGGAAAGUUGAUUGAUUUGUCAUUUUUUUUACAAUUUUGAAUAUAAUUUAUUUUUAAUUAAUUUGAAUCGGUUUGGACAGCCCUGCCUAAGAUGCAUAAGCUUUUAUCACUGUAAACCAAUGUUUCCCAAUGUUAAUUGACCGGGCCUAAAUUAGAAGCAGAAAGAUAUGUGCAGGCCAGUAGAGGAGGCGCCCGCAAGGGACCGAUACCGGUAUCAGUGCAAUUGAGUUGUGACGAAUAUACUUGUGCUUGAACUGUGAUAAUGACGUAACAAUUGACAUGAUCUAUUUUUAUUGGUGGGUAAUAUUAAAUCACCGUGUGAGCAGUAACUGGCCAGCUGGCCGCAGUUCAGGAAUCACUGCUGUAAACCAAAAUAGAUGCAUAUAGCAGUACUCAACAUUGAAACAAACAGUACAAUUAUUUUUUCAUUGUUUGGCACACAGGCAAGCUUACAAUCAGCAGAUAACAAAUAAAAGCUCAGAGCAACAGUUGGGUGGGGGUGUCCAUAAAUAAUAGUGGUUGAUAUUCUAUCAACUUUCUUAAAUUUGAAAACAAUGCUUGAGCACUCUAUGAAUGCUGAGCCACUACUUUUAUUUUCCAUGCAUAUUUAAAGGAAAAGUCAAAAAUUUAAUUAAACUGUGUUGUCAGCUUUACACAAGUAACAAUUUCACAUUUCUUACAAAGGCAGUUCUGGUAGGUAGUAAAAAAAAGCAAAGCAAAGGAGAGACGUAGCCUGAUUAGGAAUAAACUCUAAUUCAGAAAUCAUUGGCAUUAAACUAUAUAGUUUGAUUGAAUACUGAUAUUUCAGCCAUAUUCCAGCUUCGAUGUAAAUUAGUAAUCCAUUUCAAAAAUUGAUAAAAUGGGAACACAAAGUUUUGUCUAAAUUCAUGAAAACACCUUUAAAAAUACCAUUCGGUUUUAUUUGCAAAAUCUCUGGAACAAGCUAUAACUAGUCUCUUGAACAAGAAAUAACAAGUUACCCAAUCCAUUGAAAUUGAGUUACCUAACACUCUCAAACAGGGGAUACUCAAUAUAACUGAGUCCCAUGAACAAGAGCUAAAUGUACAAUGUCCCUUGAACAGAAAAAAAAUGACAAGUCCCAGAAACUGGGGAAAAAUUAAGUAAGCGAGCCAUGUAUGUUUUCCCAUUUUAGUAUCACAGAAUUGCUUUUUUGAAUAUCCUGUAAGAACCACUCUUCAAGCAUAAACGACUGCAACAGAAGCUUCAGGAACUUUUCAGCACAUUUGUUGAAUCUUUUCAUCGAUGUCAUCUAUUAGUGACUUUAAAUUUUGCCACUGCUCGGCUGGAAGGCUGA
Non-coding RNA from Styela clava, 2415 nucleotides. The record is from RefSeq and is a predicted model, not a curated record. Lineage: Eukaryota; Metazoa; Chordata; Ascidiacea; Stolidobranchia; Styelidae.